ACACACACACACACACACACACACAACAAACAAAAACAAAAACAAACAGUGUACGUGUGUGUGUGUGUGUGUGUGUGUGU
This is a non-coding RNA of Podarcis lilfordi (Lilford's wall lizard), 80 nucleotides long. Lineage: Eukaryota; Metazoa; Chordata; Lepidosauria; Squamata; Lacertidae. The record is from the annotation of a GenBank genome assembly.